GACGAACGCUGUUCGGCGUGCUUAACACAUGCAAGUCGAACGGAAAGGCCCUGCUUUUGUGGGGUGCUCGAGUGGCGAACGGGUGAGUAACACGUGAGUAACCUGCCCUUGACUUUGGGAUAACUUCAGGAAACUGGGGCUAAUACCGGAUAGGAGCUCCUGCUGCAUGGUGGGGGUUGGAAAGUUUCGGCGGUUGGGGAUGGACUCGCGGCUUAUCAGCUUGUUGGUGGGGUAGUGGCUUACCAAGGCUUUGACGGGUAGCCGGCCUGAGAGGGUGACCGGCCACAUUGGGACUGAGAUACGGCCCAGACUCCUACGGGAGGCAGCAGUGGGGAAUAUUGCACAAUGGGCGGAAGCCUGAUGCAGCAACGCCGCGUGCGGGAUGACGGCCUUCGGGUUGUAAACCGCUUUCGCCUGUGACGAAGCGUGAGUGACGGUAAUGGGUAAAGAAGCACCGGCUAACUACGUGCCAGCAGCCGCGGUGAUACGUAGGGUGCGAGCGUUGUCCGGAUUUAUUGGGCGUAAAGGGCUCGUAGGUGGUUGAUCGCGUCGGAAGUGUAAUCUUGGGGCUUAACCCUGAGCGUGCUUUCGAUACGGGUUGACUUGAGGAAGGUAGGGGAGAGUGGAAUUCCUGGUGGAGCGGUGGAAUGCGCAGAUAUCAGGAGGAACACCAGUGGCGAAGGCGGUUCUCUGGGCCUUUCCUGACGCUGAGGAGCGAAAGCGUGGGGAGCGAACAGGCUUAGAUACCCUGGUAGUCCACGCUGUAAACGGUGGGUACUAGGUGUGGGGUCCAUUCCACGGGUUCCGUGCCGUAGCUAACGCUUUAAGUACCCCGCCUGGGGAGUACGGCCGCAAGGCUAAAACUCAAAGGAAUUGACGGGGCCCCGCACAAGCGGCGGAGCAUGCGGAUUAAUUCGAUGCAACGCGUAGAACCUUACCUGGGUUUGACAUGGAUCGGGAGUGCUCAGAGAUGGGUGUGCCUCUUUUGGGGUCGGUUCACAGGUGGUGCAUGGCUGUCGUCAGCUCGCGUCGUGAGAUGUUGGGUUAAGUCCCGCAGCGAGCGCAACCCUUGUUCACUGUUGCCAGCACGUUAUGGUGGGGACUCAGUGGAGACCGCCGGGGUCAACUCGGAGGAAGGUGGGGAUGACGUCAAGUCAUCAUGCCCCUUAUGUCCAGGGCUUCACGCAUGCUACAAUGGCUGGUACAGAGAGUGGCGAGCCUGUGAGGGUGAGCGAAUCUCGGAAAGCCGGUCUCAGUUCGGAUUGGGGUCUGCAACUCGACCUCAUGAAGUCGGAGUCGCUAGUAAUCGCAGAUCAGCAACGCUGCGGUGAAUACGUUCCCGGG
Molecule: ribosomal RNA, 1344 nt
Filed under: uncultured bacterium
Lineage: Bacteria
Description: 16S ribosomal RNA
Rfam family: Bacterial small subunit ribosomal RNA
Source: RNAcentral